UCUGCCAUUCACAAUGUUGAAUUUGUUUCUUCAGAAAUUUCAGACUUGCUGAAAUAUAAACGUAUUAUAGAAGUUCCUUUUCAGCCGUUUGUGUGCAGUCCCCUGAGUGUCGCAGAAAAUAAAAACAAAAAGAGGUUGAUUCUUGAUCUCAGUAGGUUAAAUAAGGACGUAAAGUAUGAAAAAAUAAAGUUUGAAGACUGGAAGACGGCAUUAGAUUAUUUCGAAAAGGGUUUUUAUUGCAUAAAAUUUGAUCUGAAAUCAGGAUACCAUCAUAUAGAUAUAGCUGAAGAAUAUCAGAAUUAUCUAGGGUUUCAGUGGGAUAAUAAAUAUUACUGCUUUACAGUUCUGCCAUUUGGUCUUUCAUCAGCUCCAUUUAUUUUUACUAAAUGUUUAAGACCUCUGGUGAAGUUUUUGAGAAAAAGUGGUAUAAUGAUUGUAUUGUAUCUAGAUGAUGGGUUAGUAUUUGCUUCAACUGAGAGUCAAUGUAUUUUAGAUUCUAAUUUCAUUCAGAAAACAUUGUCAGAAACUGGACUGGUGGUCAAUAUAGACAAAUCAAAGUUUAUUCCAACGCAAAUUAUUGAAUGGUUAGGUUUAACAUGGAAUUCAAAUUCAUUUUCCAUUUCAGUUCCGGAUAGACGAAUAGAAGACGCUGUUUGUUGUUUGAAGAAAGUUAUUGGUCGUUUCCCAGAUAUAACAGCGAGAGAACUGGCACAAAUAUAUUUAAAGUGGGCAGAUGGAUGGGCAUUAACAACGAAAGUAAAGAUCGCCGUCUUGAGGAACUCGCAUCAGAACUACCUCGAUAUUGUAUAACAUCCAAGGCUGACAACACAGCAAAACAAUACAGG
Molecule: RNA transcript, 845 nt
Organism: Magallana angulata
Lineage: Eukaryota; Metazoa; Mollusca; Bivalvia; Ostreida; Ostreidae
Exons: 2
Source: RefSeq, a predicted model, not a curated record